RNAcentral lists this long non-coding RNA (3741 nucleotides) under Homo sapiens (human). Its description in RNAcentral is "HSALNT0331264". The record is from RNAcentral. Lineage: Eukaryota; Metazoa; Chordata; Mammalia; Primates; Hominidae.
CCUGAGAAAGAAAAAAAGAGCAGAAUCACAGUAAGCAAUGAGCCAUGCUCCAGCCUCCCCAUGCCACUUGGGUACCCAUGGGUCUCUGGUAGCAGAAACAGCUGGCUGCUAUUUUUGUUCCCUGGGCUGAAAAUGUUGAAGAUUCCCUGGAUCACCUGUAGCAGAGGAUGCAGGUUAACGGGUUGGGAGACAGAGCCCCAGUCCCAGGAUCCUGACAAGGUGGGGGACAAUCCUUGAGUAGAUCCAGCCUUUGGCACUUGCUGUCCAUCAGCAGGGGCUGGGAGGCCAGCUGUGCAGCUGUGCUCCUGCCUCUGACUGUAGGUGCACAGCCCGGGGGAGGGUGAAGAGGCUCAAAGGAGAGCGCUUACUAGGGGGUGGGGAGAGGGGCAUCUUCUAUCUUGGAAAAGAGGCCAGACCAGGUGAAAAAGGGUCAAGAGGAGGCAGUGGAAGGAGACAGUUGCAUUUGAUUUCUUGAAUGACAGAACUGGGCUUGUGGGAGGAAAUGCGAUCUCUUUUCUCUCAGUAGGGAUAACAGAUGAAGUGCCUGGGGUUCCUGCUACUCCUGGUUCCCAUGGAGGUGGAGAAGAGGCAGGAGGCCACCUUGGAUCUGGAAGAUACUUCUGGGGCUUGUGGGCAUCUCAGUUUGGCAAAGGGGGCUGACUGAGCCCAACCCCUUCAGAGGAGAGGAGGACUAAAGGAGAUGUCCCCAUGAAGGAGGGUCAAGUGGAGGACGAGGAGCUCACAAAGGAGACAGAAAGGACGUCAGAGGGGCAGGCAAGACAUCUGGAGAACAUGGCACUCCCCUUGCCCUUUCCUGCCUGGCUGAGGACAGAGGAGCCCAAAGACAAUGUGUGAAAAGGACAAACACAAAUGCCAGAUAUUCUCUAGUGGACUAACACGAUAGGAACAGCAGAGGAGGAUGGAUUUGGCAACAAAAAAGUCACCGGUGACUCUGGAGAGGGUGUGGGUAGAAAACCGCCUGCAAUGAGCUAAUGGGUGGAAGGGAAGACAGUGAAUGCAGACAUCAUUUUUCAAGAAGUGUGGCUGUGAUGAGAGGAAAGAGGCUGGGGAGGGGUUGAGAGAGAGGUAACAGGCUCAAGGAGCAGUUUGCUUCCAAAAAAGAGAAUGGUGGACACAAUGAAAUGUGGACGGGAACAGCAUGGAGGAGAGGCUAAGCUAGACCAGGAGCCUGCUGCUGGGCUGAGGGGUCAAGAAAGUACCGCACAGGCCUUAGGCGGGAAAAGGGUGACUCUCAUGACAAGGAAGAAAGUAUGUUUGCAGGUGGGAAUGGCAAAACAGUGGGAGAAUCCCUGUAUAAUGGCUUUUUUCCUCAUUGAAAUAAAAAGUGAGGCUAUUUGCCAAAAAAUAAGGUGUGGGCUCGGAAGGCCUAGCGGUUUGAGAAGACUGGAGGCCUGACAGAAGGACUGUGGGGAAUGGACGUGCUAAGGUACAGGAAGCCCAGGGAACCAUGAGAGGCCCGCCUGGCGACACGGGAACUCGGCAAUCGGGAGCCCACGUGGCUGGCUGCCACAGAUUCACUCAUGUGCUUUUCUUGAGCUGUAGAAAGGGAGAGCCAGGCUGGGGUGGAACCCAGGGCUGCAGUGUUUCUGAGUGGGUCUGAAGGAAAGACAGCGGGACAAGGAAUUGAGUACUGGUGAGUGAGUGAGUGAGUGAUGGGUCAAUUUGCCUGCCCUCCUACCAAUACUUAGCAAUGCUUACUCCAUUCAAGUGAGUGAGAAACGGAUUGACCUGGGAAGAAGAGAACGGGGCAGGAGAGUCUUCAGUGGAUGUGGAGGAGUGGCAGGAGGUCACAGAUGACAGAGCCAGGGGUGCAGUUUUUAAGAAGCAGGGUGUCUCUCUGCUCCCUUCUCCCACUGUCAGCCCAUGACUCUCUCACCUUCGUGUAGACAGAAGACACAAAGACAAGGUGAGAGUGUCACGGGCUGGCAGUGGGAGAAGGGAGCAGAGAGACACUGAGCUCUUUCCAUUUCCUGAGGCGGGAGAGAAGGAGCAGCUGGGCUUUGGUGGAGAGCCAGACUGUGAAGUCCAGGAGGUGGAAGGAGACAAGGGAGGAGGCUGCUGUCUACAGAGAUAAUGACCAUAAUCACUUGAUGCAUCACGCUGCCACUGUGUGUCUGUCCCUGCCUGCAGCCCCACGACUAAGUCUGGAAAGGCAGGGCUGCCUGGUUCUGCCUGGGCCUGCCAGACAGGAGCUGUGCAGUGUGGGAUGAGUGAGCAGAGCCUCCAGAUAUAUGAGGUAGGUUGGGAGUACAGUGGAAGUUACCCAAGGAUGGCUAUGAAGGAGGAAACAGCUGAACUGAACUUGGAAGGAAAGUUUGUCAGAAGAAAAGGUGAGAGAAGAUAGCAUUAUCAGUAAAGGGGAAGAGACAUCUGAGCACACAUAUUUACGAAAAGCACAUCAGACUUGGGAACUGCCGGAUGUGCUCUCUGGGGACCUAACUGGGAACCACUGUCCUAAGAAGCCAGGAAAGGCCAGAGACUACUGCAGCCCACUGAACCUUUCUGGCUAGGUGACUGCAUGGGAGAAAGACAGUGCUGACCACCUUCAGAAGGCAGCGGUGGGACCCCUUGGCUCACUACUUCAGGCGGCGGGAGAAGGAUCCUGGUUGUCCUUGGGGCUGAAAAAGGAUGGUGAAUCACUUCUGCUUUCCAAAGCACUAGGGCUGUUUGACCACCCAGGAACUGGAACUAGCUGGUUGUUACACCCAAAUCUCUUCGGAUGCUGGGCUCCUAAACGUGUCACUGUGCAGAUGCAGUUGGGAGUAGGCAGGUGAAGAGGUAAAGAAGCCACAAGGGACAAGCCAUCAAGCUCUGGGGCUCAUCUGGCAGGAGGGCUGCCGAGGAAUAGAUCACCAGGUUCUGUCCUCAGUCCCGAGGCCUGGUUCAUUCCCCUGGCUUCAAUUACAUCUCUGCGCUGGUAAAUGCUAGCCCUGCACUUCUCCACUUAGAUGUCUCACGGGAACCUUCGAGUCAACAUGCCUCAACUGAAUUCACUGUCUUCUGCAAAUCCCAUCCUGGCUCAGUGAAAGGCACCACCAUCUUGCUGGUCACCAAGCAAACACCUGGGAGACAUCCCUGCCUCCAUCUCCCUCUCCUGCCAUCAGAUCAAAGGCCCAUCACUUCAGCUUCCUCUGAAAAUCCCUCUCUUCUUCUCUGGCCCCACAAUCAAUCAUCUCUCCCUUGGCCUGCGUUUCCUGCCUGAGGCAUCGAACUCGAGGUCUUCCUGCCUGGAAUCCUCCAAGCUACCUUCCAUUUGGCCACGGCAUAAUCUUAGGAUGCAGGUGUGACCAAGUGCAUGCUUUGAUUAAAACCCUCAGUGACUUCUCUCACCGGUAGGAUAAAGCCACAGCUCUUCCGCAGGGCCUCAGAGGCCCUCCCUCAACAACACUGUCCAUCCUGCCUCUCUUCUGCUCAGUUUUGGCUGUCAAGCUGCUGUGGAAUGUGCCGUGCCUGCUGCCAGGAGGGCCCUCCUGAGGAGUCUGUACUCACAGUCAGCCUCUUGUAAAGCCAUUUCCAGGCAGGAUGGGGGACUUCCCUCAUCCCAGUACUUGUCACAUGCUAAUAUGCUUGUCCAGUUUUGUGUCAGUCUCCCCACUGGACAGCUUCUUCUGGGUGAGAACUUAACUGUGUCACACUUUGGCUGCCAGUAUUUGUAGAAGUGUUUGCUGAAUGAAUAAAUGACUGACUGAAGCAAGUCCUCAGCUUGGAGGAAUCCAGCAA